RNAcentral lists this long non-coding RNA (698 nucleotides) under Phoenix dactylifera (date palm). RNAcentral describes it as "long non-coding RNA (PDAC_LNC019274)". The record is from RNAcentral. Lineage: Eukaryota; Viridiplantae; Streptophyta; Magnoliopsida; Arecales; Arecaceae.
ACAACCAUCUAGUCUAGGACAUUGAUUUCAUGCCCGUGAAUGCACUAGGUAUGUUCACCUAAAAUGUCAUGGAACACCACGAUGUUUGUGAGGUGAGAAACAACUAAUUUUGAUUGAAGCAUAGUAUCUAUGCACAUGAAGAGUUCCUUCCUCUUACCACGGGCACCAGGAGACUAAUUGUAACUCACAAAAAUUAAUGUAAUACAAGUUUUGAUUGUUGAGUUGCCACUCCGGCAUUAUAUAGGCUCAGAAAACUUCCGUACACAUUUACAAAUGAGCUAAGACAAUUUUUUUGAGAUUGUCUAACUUUCGUAUGUAACAACGUAGAAUCUCAUCCAAAAAAAACUAGCCAGAAAAUAUUAUUUAAGUUUUUAAAAAACUAGCCAGAAAAUAUUAUUUAAAUUUCUUAACCAUGUAUAAGUAUCUAAAACUUAUCUAGUGCAUACCAAUAUAGGAUUAAACACACACCAGCACGAAUCCUCACAUACUCCCCAAACGUCUUUGCUAGGCUAAAGAUCCAGAUUUAUUCAAAUCUAAACACAAGCACCAUGAUUGAUUCAUGACCGGUCCUAAUGAGCACGUGCUGCAGCAUUCCUUAGUCUAUAUAGGUCAUGGACAUUAUUGGGUGUUACAUUUUUUUGACUUUAUUGGGUGUACCUGUUCCCGUCAGAUAUGAUCCACCCACAUUAGAAGAAGAA